AUUGAACGCUAGCGGGAUGCCUUACACAUGCAAGUCGAACGAGUGGCGGACGGGUGAGUAAUAUAUCGAAACGUGCCCAGGAGCGGGGUAUAACUACUACAAAGAAUGGCUAAUAGCGUACACUAAUGGGGCGGCCGAUAUCGGAUUAGCGAGUUGGGGGGGUAAAGGCUCACCAAGGCCACGAUCCGUAGCUGGUUUGAGGGGACGACCAGCCACAAUGGGACUGAGACACGGCCCAGACUCCUACGGGAGGCAGCAGUGGGGAAUUUUGGACAAUGGGGGAAACCCUGAUCCAGCCAUCCCGCGUGUAUGAGAAGGCCUUCGGGUUGUAAAGUACUUUUGGCAGAGAAGCGGUAUCUGCAGAAUAAGCACCGGCUAACUACGUGCCAGCAGCCGCGGUAAUUC
This 405-nucleotide ribosomal RNA is filed under the name uncultured bacterium. RNAcentral's name for it is "partial 16S ribosomal RNA". It matches the Rfam family "Bacterial small subunit ribosomal RNA", at positions 30 to 526 of the family's 1533-position model. The record is from RNAcentral.